GCAGUGGUGGUUCAGUGGUAGAAUUUUUGUCUUCCAUGCAGGAAACCUGGGUUCAAUUCCUGGCUAACCCA
Molecule: transfer RNA, 71 nt
Filed under: Loxodonta africana (African savanna elephant)
Lineage: Eukaryota; Metazoa; Chordata; Mammalia; Proboscidea; Elephantidae
Rfam family: tRNA
About the family: Transfer RNA (tRNA) molecules are approximately 80 nucleotides in length. Their secondary structure includes four short double-helical elements and three loops (D, anti-codon, and T loops).
Source: Rfam by way of RNAcentral